AGGGAUUUGGGGAGGGAGUACCUUCUCUCGGCUGGAGAUGAGCUCGAGAUGCGUCGGCGCCAGGAGGUUGAGGACGAGAACGAGGAAGACGAUUUCGGUUCUGAGGAUGGAGGUUUCGAUAGCGAUUGUGCUGUUGGUUGGGAGGAUUUCGACGACGACGAUGAGGAUGGCGACGACGACGACGAAGACGAUGGCGAUUCUGAUGCGCCUCGGGAGAGGAGAAAAUGAGAUUCGAAAUAUAUUUCUCUCUGUUUCUCGUUUCGUCAGCGUCGUGUUCUGUUUACCAACUCAGUGCUGGCCAACUU
This 305-nucleotide long non-coding RNA is filed under the name Eucalyptus grandis. RNAcentral's name for it is "long non-coding RNA (EGRA_LNC003830)". Lineage: Eukaryota; Viridiplantae; Streptophyta; Magnoliopsida; Myrtales; Myrtaceae. The record is from RNAcentral.